GUUGGGUUUUUUGGCGGGCGUUGUGCAGCCAAAAAAAAAAAAAAAAAGGGAAAAAAAUAAAAAAGCAUGAGGUAGGCAGGGCUCCUCACCGUUGGCUCCGGCCGCCUUCACUGCUUCGUUGGCACCGCCCGGUGCGCUUAAAGGCAGCAGGUGAUUUCGGGAAGGGUGGCUGUGGAGAGGUUUCGCUCCGGGCGGUGAUGGGAAGGCGUUUCAGACCACUGCAGUGGUGAAAAUGGCCCGGGAACACCCUGAUCAGGCCCGAGGUUGCCUGCGGACCCUCUGAGGUCCAUAGACUGCUUCUAGCGGGGAAAGUAAGAACUGCAAGAAACAACCCUACUGACAUCAAGUUGUGAGUAUAUUAACAAGAGGGAGGCCUCACAUUAUGUACUAGGCAGAGUUUAGGAGUUAGCUGACUGAAAAACGUGGUAGAAACCCAUCAAUCUGGACAGAAGAACGUCAGCUGUGAAUUCCCCACUGUGAAAUGUACCCUCCAUGGACAUCUUCUCUACAGACAUUGACACGGCAUGUCUGGGAAUUUUCCAACAUGAGACUUGUUUCACUUGUGAAAUUUCCAGGAAAAUAAAAAUUGGAUUUGCAAAGUGUUCUCUGAAACACAAGAAGCCCAGUCUUCACAGUUCCUCGCUCAAAUCUGUCAGCUUUGCUGGAAAGCUACAGAGCCGCAGCAGCCAAGGAGCCGGUGACUGAAAGGAGCGCUGCAUCCAGUUAGCAUACAGUGCUACAAAACAAGGUGUGGCCUAACAGGAUGAAGACCAGAGGAUGGCAACGGGAGCGAUCAGACCUCUGAAAAACACAUGCCCUGGUUUUAACUCUGAAGUUUCCAUCUCCAGAAGCCCUUACCCUCCAGGACAGUUUAAAAGUCGUCCCUGUAAUCAAGCAUAUAAGUGCGUGGCCUUCAAGGUGGAUAAUACACUCCACAAGCAAAGACGACAUCUGCGUUUACAGUAUGAAGCCUGCCAGACAAGUUUUCCUUCAGCCUACCACCUGAUAAGGUCUCUUCACUUGCGGAGGUUGCUGGUCCCGACCUCGCGUGGCCGAGGAUGGGGGCAGGGCGGCAGAGUCCGUCCCUGCAGCCGUCCCCACCUCUGCUGACCUCGUGACUUCUCUGUGCAACCGCCUGCAAGACGAGGAGGUGACGCGCGGGCCUC
Molecule: long non-coding RNA, 1166 nt
Filed under: Struthio camelus australis
Lineage: Eukaryota; Metazoa; Chordata; Aves; Struthioniformes; Struthionidae
Description: lncRNA (ENSSCUG00000000133.1)
Source: RNAcentral